AUUGAACGCUGGCGGCAUGCUUUACACAUGCAAGUCGAACGGUAACAGGCCGCAAGGUGCUGACGAGUGGCGAACGGGUGAGUAAUGCAUCGGAACGUGCCCAGUCGUGGGGGAUAACUACUCGAAAGAGUAGCUAAUACCGCAUACGAUCUAUGGAUGAAAGCGGGGGACCGUAAGGCCUCGCGCGAUUGGAGCGGCCGAUGUCAGAUUAGGUAGUUGGUGGGGUAAAGGCUCACCAAGCCAACGAUCUGUAGCUGGUCUGAGAGGACGACCAGCCACACUGGGACUGAGAAACGGCCCAGACUCCUACGGGAGGCAGCAGUGGGGAAUUUUGGACAAUGGGCGCAAGCCUGAUCCAGCAAUGCCGCGUGCAGGAAGAAGGCCUUCGGGUUGUAAACUGCUUUUGUACGGAACGAAACGGCUCUGGUUAAUACCCGGGGCUAAUGACGGUACCGUAAGAAUAAGCACCGGCUAACUACGUG
Molecule: ribosomal RNA, 482 nt
Filed under: uncultured bacterium
Lineage: Bacteria
Description: partial 16S ribosomal RNA
Rfam family: Bacterial small subunit ribosomal RNA
Source: RNAcentral